RNAcentral lists this ribosomal RNA (845 nucleotides) under Caenocholax sp. 1 DPM-2011. RNAcentral's name for it is "partial 16S large subunit ribosomal RNA". Lineage: Eukaryota; Metazoa; Arthropoda; Insecta; Strepsiptera; Myrmecolacidae. The record is from RNAcentral.
UUUAAUUAUUUAAUAUUUCGAAUUUUUAAGAGUUAAUUUAAUUUUUAUAAUAAAUGUUGUAAAAUUUAUUAAAAAUUUAAAUUGGAAAUAAUAAAUUAAUCGUUUAAAAAUAUAUCUAAUUUUUUUAGAAAUUAAUUUAAUUAUUUUAUUAUUAAUUUAAAAUUUUUAAUAAGUAAAUUUUUAAUAAGUAAAUUAAUCGAGAUAAUUUGAUUAAUUAAAUUAUAUGAUUAAAAAAUUUUUAAAAUUUUAUAGGAUUAAUAUUUUUUAUUAUAUUUAAAUUUUUAUAAAUAGAUUUUAUUAUAAUAAAAAUUUAUUUUUUCAUUAAUUUUUUUAUAAAAAUAAAUUAUUUAAUUAAUAAUUAAUUGUAAUAAUGAUAAAAUUAGUAAAUUAUUUUUUAAUAAAUUAUUAGAUUGAUAAAUUAAAUUAAUGAAUUAGGCAAAAUAAUUUUUACCUGUUUAUUAAAAACAUGUCUGUUAGAAAUAAAUUAAUAGUCGAAUCUGCCCGUUGAUUAAUUAAAUGGCUAUAGUAUUUUAACUAUACAAAGGUAGCAUAAUAAAUUGUUUUUUAAUUGAAAACUAGAAUGAAUGAUUUGAUGAAAGUUAACUUUAUUAAUUUAAGAUUUUGAAAUUUUUAUUUAAGUGAAAAAACUUAAAUUAUUUAAAAAGACGAUCAGACCCUAUAAAACUUUAUUAUUAAUAAAUAAUUAAAUUUUAUUGAUAAAUUAGUUGGGGAAAUUGUAAAAUUAUUAAAUUUUUAUUUUUAUUAAUUAUUUUAAUAAAAUUAAUUGAUCUUAUAGUAUAGGAUUGAAGAAAAGUUGCUUUAGGGAUAACAGCAUAAUUUUAUUU